Non-coding RNA from Sus scrofa (pig), 2368 nucleotides. The record is from RefSeq and is a predicted model, not a curated record. Lineage: Eukaryota; Metazoa; Chordata; Mammalia; Artiodactyla; Suidae.
GUAGAGUCAAAUUUAAAAACGUUUUUGAAACAGUGGUUAUCUUAUAUCUUUAUCAGCUAACCUACAAUGAGGCCAAAAAAAAGAAAUUAAGAAAUUAAUGGUUCUGUUUUCCCUUGAUGCCAAAGUUAUGUGUGUUCUUUUCACUACAGAGAGAGAUUUGGUGUUAUGCCCCAAAUUGCCCUUGUAGGUUGUGAAAACAUAAAAUAGUAAUUCAAAUCCUCACCUUCAUUAUAACACGAGGCAAAUAUAAUUUCUCUUGGAUAAUUAUCUCAAGAGUUAGGGGCAGUUAAGGGACCCUGCUCAGAGCAUGGCUUAGCAGUUACCCAUCCCCUUUUUUAUCAUUCUGGUACCUGUGAAGUAGACUGUGAUCAUUACAAGAACCUAUUACUGUUUUUGCUCAGGUGGAAGGUUCCAAAUGAUUUUAUUGCACCAGAUAUAAUGGCAAUCAGUAUAACUAACUGCACUGCAUAUAGCAAUAACUAGCAUUAAUUGUUUGUCAUGCCCCAGGCACUGGUCUGAAGACUUUAUAUGUUUAACUUGUUUAAGCCUCACAGCAGUUCUGUAUGGUACUUAUUAUUAUCAUCUAUCUCCUUACCUAUGAGAAAACUGAGGCUCACAGAGGAGAAAUAAUCUGCCCAGUCAUAUAGCUAGUAAGUGGCAGAGCCAGGAUACCAACCCAGGCAGCCUGGGCACAGAGACUGCACCAUUAUCCACUGCAGUAACUGCUGGUCCACUUCUGAUUUAUCUUGAGAUGCUCAACCUCAGGCCUACCUUCUCCACAGUAGAUGAAUAAAGAAGGGAAGCAAGGCAGGGUAGCAAAGAUUCAAACACUGUAAAAUUUAUGGAAUCCCAGGUCUCAAAGGGAGUAUCAUAGGACAUUGACCAGACUUCAGGGUCAAAUGGCACUGCCUAUAGACCAUUCAGCCAGAUACAGAUUUUCAUUCAUCUCCAGGAAGGAAUUAUUCUUUCCUUAUUAAUUCAUUUCAAUAUUUAUAGUCUCUCUGCACUGAAGCUCUUCACACCCAACCUGACCAAGUCGUGUUAAGCAUUAGUCUGAGGUUUGGACAUUGAAGCAAUAACUAAAAUUAACUUUGGACUUCUCUGUGGAUUUUUUAAAUCCAUGUUCCAUUGGCAUGGAUCACUGGUGUAUACAAGCAUAAAUAAACAUCAGUCUCUGCAGGCUUUUAAAGAUUGGCCACUGAGUGUGCCGAUGAGGAAGAAGGCAGAGCAUUCUCUGCUGGACGUCUUUUCCAAGUCGUACCCUCCUUCCCAGGAGACUUUCCCUGUGCUCCCCCUAGGUUAGCCCUCCCAAGAUCUCUGAUCAGAACCCACAGGGAGCCUUUUUCCAGCCACAAGGUUCUGAUUACUGAAGCCUCUCUCCUGAGCUGCAUCUGACCUGAAUAUCAGGUUGCUGAUGAGAAGACUCAUUCAUUGGAACUGGCCUUUGGGGCGGUCCUGAACAGACCGUCCAGACUGCUGAGCAGGGCUCCAGUGACCUGGCACAUAGGAAACACGGAACACAGCCUUUCCCUCUGUGUUAUACAUUCCCAGAGAAGAAGUGCAAGAUGCCCUGGCACUAUCAUCACUCAGUUCUGUGUAAUAAGAGUUUCAAAGGGACUCUUGGUGAAUUCACAACCCUAACUGACAUUUUUUUUUUUUUUUUUGACAUUCUUUUAGGCCAACCAAGUCAUGUGAAGGAUGAAUUCCUAUGCUUGUCUUGUUAAUAUUCGUGAAACCAUGCAGAUUAGAGGAGGCCCUAGUAGUUGACAAAAGGACAUUUGAGGAAAGGAGGGAUGACAUGAGAAAAGGUAAACAUGAUGUUUUUGUAUAUAUUAUACCCAGAUGGGGUCUGAGAAAGAUAGAUUCACCUCUAAUCAUCUCAGUUGGCACUGGUGUCCUCCUUACCCACGGUUUUCCCUUUGCACUUGGCCUCAGCUGAGGGAGAGGUGUCGAAAAGGGGAGAGACAGCUCUCCGCCACCAAGUAAUCCUGUUGCCGAUUGCCCUCUGGCUGAGAACUCAGUCAUCCAACUGCAGGGAAUUCUAUCUCUUCUACUCCUUUAGUUUAAUAGGAGUUGCCAUCCUGUCUCAUUUCCCCUUUGAAGUUCUAUUUCAAUGCGUGGCAAAUUCUAGCAAUGACUUAAGAUUGAUUCGGGCCUGGAUGGGAGGGAGGGCAGAUGUGGUGGGUGUUGGGACCUAGACUCCCUGGCCGGAAGCUUCUCUUGCCACUCUUUCUGCAGUGAUUAUUGUGCCAAUAUUCAUAAGAACCUUGCAUCCAGAAUAUUGCUAUACCUGUGGAUGAAGUGCAUCUGCUCCAAGUAGACACAGCCUUUUGAAAUAUCUACACACAGGUCUACAAGGUCAACCAAG